UUAAAAAAAAAUGUCAAGGCUGUUUGAGUUUAUCUGUCUGUCUGCAUCUGCUUUAGAAAUGGGUGGGUUGAAGGGGAACGCUUUCUUAACAAGCCUUAUUCCAAAAUACUUAUAGAGGAAGGCAUGCAUGGAAUAAAAUUUCUGCCGGGCUUGAGUUGUGUUGUGUGAAGGCAGAGUACUGCAAGAGGGGAUGGGAUACAGGAGGAGUUGCUAUGCGUUUCUCUUUCUUUAUUUCUCUACUUUUUUUAGGAGAAUGCGAUACAAAAAUCAGUAAGUACAAUUCCCCUUGAAAUUGUGCAGGAGAGCAAGCUUUCUACUGCAGAUUAGUUUCCGUUCUUCAAAAACGUUAGGGUUUCUUUUUAUAGAUUACUUCCCACACUUUGCAUUAGGAUCAUAAGGCAUAUUUUUCUCCCUUUAGAAGUGCCUACGGGAUAAGUCUAAAUCCUCACCAAAUCAUAGAAAGCUUUAGAUUGUAAAGGGACCUUUGAAGGUCUUAAGCUUAUCUUUGUGCUCAGAGAGGUGAGGUUGCUCAAGGCAGUGUCCAGUUGAGUUUUGAAGAUCUCCAAGGAUGGAGAUCCACCACCUUCCUGCACUCUGUUGUAGGCUUCCACCGUUUCCAUGGGGAARAAUUUCCUCCUGAUAUCCCACUGGGAUAUGUUCAAAGCAAAAUCUUUAACAUAAAGGCAGUAGUGGGGAUAAAUAUCCUUGAUUUGAGGGCUCUAGAGAUGCUAUAGGCCUAUGCACAAAAGAGAAAGAAGUAUUUAAUAAUAAUUCCUGCUUUUUUUCUUUCCCUCUUUUCUUCCCAGAGGAACGUGAUAGAAAAAUUACCAAGCUCUCAGCAGAAAUACGUAGACUCAAUGCGCUGCUCGGGGACCGAGACUCGAGUCUUCGUAAGUGACGUUCUUCUCCUGGCAAGUAAAAUCUUGUUGUCAAGGGAAACUCACUGCAGAACUCGCCAAGUGCGACGCAACGAUCCCUAAGUCUGGGCCUCGAGAAGCAAUG
This 1002-nucleotide long non-coding RNA is filed under the name Apteryx rowi (Okarito brown kiwi). RNAcentral describes it as "lncRNA (ENSARWG00000010907.1)". The record is from RNAcentral. Lineage: Eukaryota; Metazoa; Chordata; Aves; Apterygiformes; Apterygidae.